Molecule: ribosomal RNA, 772 nt
Filed under: uncultured Actinomycetes bacterium
Lineage: Bacteria; Bacillati; Actinomycetota; Actinomycetes
Description: bacterial SSU rRNA
Rfam family: Bacterial small subunit ribosomal RNA
Source: RNAcentral
CGUAAAGCGAACGCAGGCGGACCUUUAAGUAGGAAGUGAAAGGUUGGAGCUCAACUCUAACACUGCUCCCUAUACUGGAGGUCUUGAGUGCCGGAGAGGAGAACGGAACAAGUUGUGUAGCGGUGAAAUGCGUUGAUAUAACUUGGAACACCAAUGGCGAAAGCAGUUCUCUGGACGGAUACUGACGCUCAGGUUCGAAAGCCAAGGUAGCACACAGGAUUAGAUACCCUGGUAGUCUUGGCCUUAAACGAUGUUCACUAGGUGUUGGGGGUAACCCUCGGUGCCGCAGCUAACGCAUUAAGUGAACCGCCUGGGGACUACGGCCGCAAGGUUGAAACUCAAAGGAAUUGGCGGGGGACCGCACAAGCGGUGGAGCAUGUGGCUUAAUUCGAUGCAACGCGAAGAACCUUACCAGGGCUUGACAUGUAUCUGCAAGCUGCCGAAAAGCAGUCGCUUUCGAAGGUGAUACACAGGUGGUGCAUGGCUGUCGUCAGCUCGUGUUGUGAAAUGUUGGGUUAAGUCCCGCAACGAGCGCAACCCUCAUGUUAUGUUGCCAGCGAGUAAUGUCGGGAACUCAUAACAAACUGCCUCUGUAAAGAGGAGGAAGGCGGGGAUGACGUCAAGUCAUCAUGCCCCUUACGUCCUGGGCUGCACACAUGCUACAAUGGCUGGCACAAAGGGUUGCCAACCUGCGAAGGUAUGCUAAUCUCAAAAAACCAGUCUCAGUUCGGAUCGGAGUCUGCAACUCGACUCCGUGAAGUUGGAAUCGCUA